This 453-nucleotide ribosomal RNA is filed under the name uncultured bacterium. Its description in RNAcentral is "bacterial SSU rRNA". It matches the Rfam family "Bacterial small subunit ribosomal RNA", at positions 340 to 786 of the family's 1533-position model. The record is from RNAcentral.
UACGGGAGGCAGCAGUGGGGAAUAUUGCACAAUGGGCGCAAGCCUGAUGCAGCCAUGCCGCGUGUAUGAAGAAGGCCUUCGGGUUGUAAAGUACUUUCAGUCGUGAGGAAGGUGUUAAGGUUAAUAACCUUAGCAAUUGACGUUAGCGACAGAAGAAGCACCGGCUAACUCCGUGCCAGCAGCCGCGGUAAUACGGAGGGUGCGAGCGUUAAUCGGAAUUACUGGGCGUAAAGGGCACGCAGGCGGUUAAUUAAGUUGGAUGUGAAAUCCCCGGGCUUAACCUGGGAAUGGCAUUCAAGACUGGUUAGCUAGAGUCUUGUAGAGGGGGUAGAAUUCCAUGUGUAGCGGUGAAAUGCGUAGAGAUGUGGAGGAAUACCGGGUGGCGAAGGCGGCCCCUGGGACAAAGACUGACGCUCAUGUGCGAAAGCUGGGGAGCAAACAGGAUUAGAUACC